UACGUAGGGUGCAAGCGUUGUCCGGAAUUAUUGGGCGUAAAGAGCUCGUAGGCGGUUUGUCGCGUCGGCUGUGAAAUCUCGGGGCUCAACCCCGAGCCUGCAGUCGAUACGGGCAGACUAGAGUGCUGUAGGGGAGACUGGAAUUCCUGGUGUAGCGGUGAAAUGCGCAGAUAUCAGGAGGAACACCGGUGGCGAAGGCGGGUCUCUGGGCAGUAACUGACGCUGAGGAGCGAAAGCGUGGGGAGCAAACAG
RNAcentral lists this ribosomal RNA (252 nucleotides) under uncultured bacterium. RNAcentral describes it as "partial 16S ribosomal RNA". It matches the Rfam family "Bacterial small subunit ribosomal RNA", at positions 524 to 775 of the family's 1533-position model. The record is from RNAcentral.